Molecule: unclassified non-coding RNA, 519 nt
Filed under: uncultured Xylariales
Lineage: Eukaryota; Fungi; Ascomycota; Sordariomycetes; Xylariales
Description: sequence contains ITS1, 5.8S rRNA gene, ITS2
Rfam family: 5.8S ribosomal RNA (bases 157-310)
Source: RNAcentral
CUGAGUCGUAAAAAACUCCCAACCCAUGUGAAUUUACCUUUGUUGCCUCGGCGGGACCUACCCGGUACCUACCCUGUAGCUACCCUGUAGCCCGCCGGUGGACUAUUAAACUCUUGUUAUUUUAUAGAAAUCUGAGCGUCUUAUUAAAUAAGUCAAAACUUUUAACAACGGAUCUCUUGGUUCUGGCAUCGAUGAAGAACGCAGCGAAAUGCGAUAAGUAAUGUGAAUUGCAGAAUUCAGUGAAUCAUCGAAUCUUUGAACGCACAUUGCGCCCAUUAGUAUUCUAUUGGGCAUGCCUGUUCGAGCGUCAUUUCAACCCUUAAGCUCAGCUUAGUGUUGGGAAUCUACCGUGAGCGGUGUUACCUGGUACCUACCCUAUAACGGGGCAGGUUACCCUGUAGCUACCCUGUAGUUCCUCAAAUCCAACGGCGGAGUCAUAGUCAUCUCUGAGCGCAGUAAUUUUUAUCACGCUUUUGAAGAUGCUAUAACCCUUGCCGCUAAACCCCCAAUUUUUUAAUG